Long non-coding RNA from Tripterygium wilfordii, 1554 nucleotides. RefSeq lists it as uncharacterized. Lineage: Eukaryota; Viridiplantae; Streptophyta; Magnoliopsida; Celastrales; Celastraceae. The transcript is spliced from 3 exons. The record is from RefSeq and is a predicted model, not a curated record.
CUUUCAUUUCAAGGAAAAGAAAACAAAUCAUUUCUCCUCCGCAAUCUGCACACUCUAUUAGUCUAUUUGGUUCACGCACUCCAUGCCAACUCUAAUUCCUGUUUAAAACCUAGAAUUUGAACUCCAUCACCGUCUUCAUAGACAAACUCUUUCUUCAUGACCUCUCUCCCUUCCACGCACUCUUCCUCCUUUCCAUCCUCUCAUCUCCGAUCCCUUCUCGGAGAGCACGAUGCAGUUGUUCGCUCUCCGCGCUACCAACGAGAGGCGAUGCACAAAAGAAUGGCUCCGUAAUUCUCAGGUGAUCUCCGAGUCGACGAUAAUCCAGGGCUUGUAGCCGCCUCCGACUAUCAGGCCGUGGUUCCUCUCUACGUCUUCGAUCCUCGGAUUCUUUCUCGGUCUGAUGACUACUUGACUAUACGUGAUGCGAAAGAUGCCUCAACAACAUCAUUAGUGGGAGUAAAACUGUGUUAUGCCAUGAUAUACUGCAACGAGAGAAAUGUCAAGUCUGAUUUCAUGUUUUGAUUUGAAAUUCUUAUUGACUGACUUUUCUGACAAUUUGUACAGGUGAUUCUGAUGAAAUGCUGGAACUGCUUCUUUUUGCAUUGAGAGAUUUAAGAAAGCCGUUGUAGGAAUAAGGGUCUAAUCUGAUGAUGAGGUUCGGGAGAGCAGAAAGUGUCAUGCAAGAGCUCUUAAAAGAGGUCCUUACUUAUAUUUGCUAACUGUGCUACUAUAAGAGUGUGUGAAGAGUUUUUUUCUUUCAUUUACUGAUUUCAUCCAGAGGACUUGAACAGGUGAAAACAACUCAUAUAUUUUCUGAAGAAGAGGUAUAGUACAUCUGUGCGAGAUUAUGUAUCUUGUUGAACAUAUGUUCGCAACUAUACUUUCCCCUGAGAGGAGUCCUGGGAAAUUUUUUGUCAGACCCCCUUCUAUGAUAUUGAGGUGGCUUUCUUUUGCAGCUCUUUGGUGCUUGUUAUAUGAAUUUAUGUUCUAAGGCCACUGUCCCCAGGAUGAGCAGCAGCCAGAAGAAGUGAGUUUGAUCAUUAGUGAAUGGGUAAUGGCAGCUGAAAGCAAAAUUCUGGCUUAGAGAUGAUUGUCGUGCUGUUGGUGCUUCACAGCUUCUUGUAUUUGUAAGACCACUUUCUUUGCCUCUAUCCCUCUCUUUCUUGAUUUUUUAUAGCCCUUCAUUACCACUCCUAAGGUGGACUAAGGUGGAAUUGGAUAUUUUUACCCACUCACAUCUACACACACCACCUCAUUGUUUCCUUGCAUAUUUAGACCUGCACUCAUAUUUACACCCAAGACCUUGAUAAUCUUUUGACUAUUAAUCCUGCUCCCAUUCAUCAACUCAUUCCUCUCUUGCAUACUUCACCGCCACUAAUUUCAGCAUGCCCUUCAUUUCCUUCAAUGCACUCAACAGUGUCUCUUCUGCUCUUUCUCAAUUUUCUAGGCUAUCCCUUUUUCUAGGCUAAGCAUAUGUUAAUGUUCUGUUUCGUCAUGAAAAACAAUAUAGCUGUGAAUGAGUAAUACACAUACCUAAGCAUAUGUUCAUUUUCA